UACGUAGGGGGCAAGCGUUAUCCGGAUUUAUUGGGUGUAAAGGGUGCGUAGGCGGGUGUCUAAGUUGAAUGUGAAAUCCACCGGCUCAACUGGUGGGCUGCGUUCAAAACUGGACAUCUUGAGUAUGGUAGAGGCAAGUGGAAUUCCCAGUGUAGCGGUAAAAUGCGUAGAGAUUGGGAGGAACACCAGUGGCGAAGGCGACUUGCUGGGCCAAAACUGACGCUGAGGCACGAAAGUGUGGGGAGCAAACAGG
RNAcentral lists this ribosomal RNA (253 nucleotides) under uncultured bacterium. RNAcentral's name for it is "partial 16S ribosomal RNA". It matches the Rfam family "Bacterial small subunit ribosomal RNA", at positions 524 to 776 of the family's 1533-position model. The record is from RNAcentral.